Molecule: long non-coding RNA, 557 nt
Organism: Ochotona princeps (American pika)
Lineage: Eukaryota; Metazoa; Chordata; Mammalia; Lagomorpha; Ochotonidae
Exons: 3
Source: RefSeq, a predicted model, not a curated record
UCACCCACUAGACACCCGGCUCAGCCUCACUCCCUGCCUGGCACUUAGCGUGAGGAAGUAUGCGCUGGGACCCUGGUUCUCCCACAUAGUUGCUGUGUGAACUAAGCAAGGGUUCCACGUUCCAGAACUACGAUGACGACGACUGGCCCAGGUGCACAGAGAAGCUGAGAGAGGCAUGCUCCCCACAGCACCGCUGGAACGCACCAGCUGUCUUCCGCCAGGACUGAUUGGUCCCAGCCCUGCACAGGGAACCUUUGGCUCCAUCUGAAGAUGCUUUUGGCUAUUGUCAAUUGGGGAGGCAGUGCUACUGGCACAUGGACAGGAGCCAACGAUGGGAUGCUGCUGACCGUCAACACAACACCCUGGACUGUUUCCCAAAUGUCAGUAGUGCCGUGGUUGAGAAAUCCUAGCAGAGGAUGGGAAAAGCUGGGAGCCACUGGGAUGAAUCUGUUGCUGCCUCCGGAAUAUCCCCAAGCCUGAAAAGUCCCCGCCUCCUCCAAGAAGACUUCAAGGUUAGAGGAGUCAAGGACUGACUUCUGCACCCCAAGAGCCUCACC